Molecule: long non-coding RNA, 398 nt
Filed under: Trifolium pratense (red clover)
Lineage: Eukaryota; Viridiplantae; Streptophyta; Magnoliopsida; Fabales; Fabaceae
Description: long non-coding RNA (TPRA_LNC013001)
Source: RNAcentral
CGGAGCCGAGAUUUUGGAGGCCCGGGACAAAUAAUAAAAAUAAAUACUUGAUAAAAAAACUUUUUUUUUUCCAAAAAAAGAACAUAAUCUGUUUAGAAAUUAAUUUUUUUUUAUAGAGUAAAAAUUAAUUAUUUAUUUUCAAAGAAACAAUAAAAUGUAUUUUUUUUAAAAAAAUAAUAAAGUAGUCGAGUUAUUUAUAAAUUUUAAAGUUUUUUUCUUUUUUUGUGACAGUUAUAAAGUUUUUUUUAUUUCUUUUUAUGCAAAGAGUAUUUAAUUUAUAGAAUAUAAACAAUAAUUGUGUAAAUUCAUUAUAAAAAUCUUAAAUAAAAGAAAAUAAAACUGUCCUAGGGGGGAAUCGAACUCACAACAGAAGCACUAUAACUUUUGGGCUAGAGCGC